GACGAAGGGGGCUAGCGUUGUUCGGAAUUACUGGGCGUAAAGCGCGUGUAGGCGGUUGUCCAAGUUGGAUGUGAAAGCCUUGAGCUCAACUCAAGAAAUGCAUUCAGGACUGGAUGACUAGAGGACCGGAGAGGAUAGUGGAAUUCCCAGUGUAGUGGUGAAAUACGUAGAGAUUGGGAAGAACACCAGUGGCGAAGGCGGCUAUCUGGACGGUUUCUGACGCUAAGACGCGGAAGCGUGGGGAGCAAACAGG
This 253-nucleotide ribosomal RNA is filed under the name uncultured bacterium. RNAcentral describes it as "partial 16S ribosomal RNA". It matches the Rfam family "Bacterial small subunit ribosomal RNA", at positions 524 to 776 of the family's 1533-position model. The record is from RNAcentral.